AUGCUGUGAUGUUGACAUUCCCUUUAAUAUUCCUUGAACCUAUCCCACACCUCAAACAACGACUCAUCUCGAUUUUGCUCAAACGAUUGGAUCUUAUGCCUAUACUC
Non-coding RNA from Spinacia oleracea (spinach), 107 nucleotides. The record is from Rfam. Lineage: Eukaryota; Viridiplantae; Streptophyta; Magnoliopsida; Caryophyllales; Amaranthaceae.